UGCUAGCAGCCGCGGUAAUAUGGAGGGUGCAAGCGUUAAUCGGGAAUUACUGGGCGUAAAGCGCGCGUAGGUGGUCUGUUAAGUCGGAUGUGAAAGCCCCGGGCUCAACCUGGGAACUGCAUCCGAUACUGGCAGACUAGAGUGCGGGAGAGGGAGGUAGAAUUCCACGUGUAGCGGUGAAAUGCGUAGAUAUGUGGAGGAAUACCAGUGGCGAAGGCGGCCUCCUGGCUCGACACUGACACUGAGGUGCGAAAGCAUGGGGAGCAAACAGGAUUAGAUA
RNAcentral lists this ribosomal RNA (280 nucleotides) under uncultured bacterium. RNAcentral describes it as "partial 16S ribosomal RNA". It matches the Rfam family "Bacterial small subunit ribosomal RNA", at positions 506 to 784 of the family's 1533-position model. The record is from RNAcentral.